CUAGGGGCUCCUUGUGGCGUGCCUGCAGGCUGACCCCGUCGCCAUUUGAACCGUGUUUCAUGCAACACAUUGGUGUGGCUGGCUUCCGGGUUAUGCUGGCUGGUGUAAAAGAGAGCAGUUAGGCAGGUCAUGUUUCGGAGGACUCAUGACUCUACCUUCGCCUCUCCCGAGCCUGUGGAGAAGAGAGGCGGCGAUGAGUGGAGUUGCAGCGGAGUUGUGGAGUUGCAGCGAUGAGACAAGAUCGAAGAAGGGGGUAGUACUUUUUUUUCUAAAUCUAUUUAAAAAAGGGGGCAUUAGGCGGUGGACAUGGCUGUGGGCGCUUUCGGCCUGUCGACGCGGCUGAAUGUAGUAAUGGGGCCCUGAGCAAGAACAUUCUAGAGCCUUCUUGGCAGCGGAGAGAAUGUUGCUAUUUUAAAGUACAUUUCUUACAAUUCUAGUCACAAAUUCUUCCAUAGAGCUUAGAGAAUGUGCAGUUUAUAAACAGCAUUUCACCACUUUCACAACUUUUGUUUUCACGGAUUUAUAGCAGCACUGGUGCUUAUUUCUUAGAGCAGUUUAAAUUGAUAGAUGUCAAGUUAAUUAUUUUGUGAACUUAGUGCCAAAAGAGAAAGAGGAACAAAAUCUGUUUCUGGUUCCAUUUCAACCAGUGUGGUAUGUUCCGUUUCAAACUUUGAGUGGAGAACACCUGCGUAGACAGGCCUACAUACUACAGAGCCAUCCAUUUUGUGACAAAAUACGACAUUCACAUAUUGCUUCGUACUCCAUUUGCAGGAACUGUAAUGUGUGUCGAGCCGCUUACAGGAUGUUCAGUUGGAAAUGUACUGUGCAGAACAGACUGUCAUUCAGAAAAGGCAUGCCCGUUCUUACAUUACUUUUCUAUCUACAACAUUCUGAACAGCCAGCUCCCUGUGCACCGAGCCUCACCCAAACAAACACUCACCCCCAAUAGUUUGUCACAGACGAUAUGAAUUACAUUUUCACACUAGCCCACACUGACACUAAUUCAGUUCCUCCUGUGCCGAGGCCUCUACACACUGACACCCACCCCCCUUUAAACAGAAUCCCACAGAUACCGGCUCUCCCACACUGCCUAACCAGCAUUAACACCUCCACCUGUCUAACCCACACAGUGAAACCGGUCCCUACCAUAUACACUCCUACGUUUCAUCUAUUCUCUCCAUCACACUGGUUAUUACUAUAAUGCUCAUUCUCUAAUACUGACAUGCUGGCCAUCUCACUGAGCAGUGUACUGGACUGUUAUUGGUCAUUCAGUACUAAAUGCUGGGCAAGAUGUACUGUGGUCGAUUCUCCCUGUGUUGAUUCAUGCAACACUUGUGAAUUUUCUCUCAUGAACUCAAUUUGUGUGUCUUCACUGCCAAAAUUCUCUACCUAAAUAAAU
This is a long non-coding RNA of Oncorhynchus tshawytscha (Chinook salmon), 1399 nucleotides long. NCBI's taxonomy places the organism in Eukaryota, Metazoa, Chordata, Actinopteri, Salmoniformes, Salmonidae. The record is from Ensembl.